GGCACUAUAGCCAAGUGGUUAAGGCGACAGAUUCGAAUUGAAGCUUAUCUGUUUCCCUAUGGGAGCGAGGGUUCAAAUCCCUCUGGUGUCG
This is a non-coding RNA of Amylocystis lapponica, 91 nucleotides long. The record is from the annotation of a GenBank genome assembly. NCBI's taxonomy places the organism in Eukaryota, Fungi, Basidiomycota, Agaricomycetes, Polyporales, Postiaceae.